Long non-coding RNA from Passer domesticus (house sparrow), 745 nucleotides. RefSeq lists it as uncharacterized. The transcript is spliced from 6 exons. Lineage: Eukaryota; Metazoa; Chordata; Aves; Passeriformes; Passeridae. The record is from RefSeq and is a predicted model, not a curated record.
GUGACAUCACAUGCUGCAGAAGACAUGUAGGCACCAGGGGCAUGACAGCUUUACAACCUCACCAAUUAUAGGCAUGAAAAACUCCUAAAAAAGUGAUACAGCUGCUCACAAGUACUCUGGGUACUAUUUUAAUUAAUUAGUUCUCUCUUUCUUAUGAUUCCUUGGUGGCACCUGCCAACGAUGUACAAACACAUAAGUACAAGAUUGAUUGACAGUGGCCCAGAGACUGAGUGGCCCAGAUUAAUUUUUCCAUCCAUGAUGGGAAGCAUCCACCUUGAUAGACCACACCUUACUUCCCUCGAGGUGACAAAGAAAACAUCACCAGAAACAGUUCCUUUGCAUCUCUUGGGAAGGAGCCUCUUGGGAACCCAAAUGGGCAGAGAAAUUCUCCAUUUGGACUGAAAUCUCUUGACGUUCCUGGCUGUUGUUUUACAGCAACACCACUGCACCAGAGAAAGACUGAGGACUACAGGGUUAAAGAAGAACAAGUUGUCAAAAUCCACACAGCAGAUUGCACAGAGCAGCUGUUUCUGGAGCUGGAGAGGCAGGAAGAAUCAAGAUCUGAGGUGAGUCAUCCAAAAAAUCCACGCGGACGUUACAUCGGAGAUGAAAGCCAAGCUGGAAUGAGCAGCGGAACCAAACCCGUGUCUUCUGCUCUUCUUCAUGUGUCAUAAAGAAAGGAUGUCAUAAAACUGCAGAGCCUGGUGUCACCUGAAAUAAAACUGAGCAGCAGAGCUAAAGUUCA